Molecule: ribosomal RNA, 1728 nt
Filed under: metagenome
Description: bacterial LSU rRNA
Rfam family: Bacterial large subunit ribosomal RNA
Source: RNAcentral
CCGGGGCUAAAAAGUACUACCGAAGCUACGGCAUCAUUUAUGAUGGGUAGGGGAGCUUCGUAUGCAGGCUGAAGCAUGACCGUAAGGACAUGUGGACAGUAUACGAGUGAGAAUGUUGGCAUGAGUAGCGAGACGUGGGUGAGAAUCCCACGGGCCGUAAACCCAAGGUUUCCAGGGGAAGGUUCGUCCGCCCUGGGUUAGUCGGGACCUAAGCCGAGGCCGAAAGGCGUAGGUGAUGGACAACAGGUUGAUAUUCCUGUACCGCCAAUAAGCGUUUGAGAGAUGGAGUGACACAGUAGGAUAAGCUAACCGUACUGUUGGUUAUGUACGGCUAAGCAUUGAGGCAGUCUAAAUAGGCAAAUCCGUUUAGAUAAUGCUAGGAUGUGAUGGGGAAGCCCUUCGGGGCGAAGUAGCUGAUUUCACACUGUCAAGAAAAGCUUCUAUCGAGUUUAAAGGCGCCCGUACCGUAAACCGACACAGGUGGGUGAGGAGAGUAUCCUAAGGCCAGCGAGAGAACUAUUGUUAAGGAACUCGGCAAAAUGACCCCGUAACUUAGGGAGAAGGGGUGCCUGUCUAUGACAGGCCGCAGAGAAUAGGCCCAAGCGACUGUUUACCAAAAACACAGGUUUCUGCUAAGUCGCAAGACGAUGUAUAGGAGCUGACGCCUGCCCGGUGCUGGAAGGUUAAGGGGAUCUGUUAGAGCAAUCGAAGCAGUGAACUUAAGCCCCAGUAAACGGCGGCCGUAACUAUAACGGUCCUAAGGUAGCGAAAUUCCUUGUCGGGUAAGUUCCGACCCGCACGAAAGGCGUAACGAUUUGGGCACUGUCUCAACAAUAGACUCGGUGAAAUUGUAAUCCCGGUGAAGAUGCCGGGUACCUGCGACAGGACGGAAAGACCCCAUGGAGCUUUACUGUAGCUUGACGUUGGGUCUUGGUACUACAUGUACAGGAUAGGUGGGAGACUAUGAAGCAUGGACGCCAGUCUGUGUGGAGUCAUCCUUGGGAUACCACCCUUGUAGUACUGGGAUCCUAACCAUAGGCCUUGAAUCAGGUCUUGGAACACCGUCAGGUGGGCAGUUUGACUGGGGCGGUCGCCUCCUAAAAAGUAACGGAGGCGCUCAAAGGUUUCCUCAGCACGGUCGGAAAUCGUGCGAAGAGCGUAAAGGCAAAAGGAAGCUUGAUUGCAAGACAUACAGGUCGAGCAAGGACGAAAGUCGGACUUAGUGAUCCGGUGGUACCGCAUGGAAGGGCCAUCGCUCAACGGAUAAAAGCUACCCUGGGGAUAACAGGCUUAUCUCCCCCAAGAGUCCACAUCGACGGGGAGGUUUGGCACCUCGAUGUCGGCUCAUCACAUCCUGGGGCUGUAGUAGGUCCCAAGGGGUUGGGCUGUUCGCCCAUUAAAGUGGUACGCGAGCUGGGUUCAGAACGUCGUGAGACAGUUCGGUCCCUAUCCGUCGCAGGCGUAGGAAAUUUGAGAAGACCUGUCCUUAGUACGAGAGGACCGGGAUGGACGUACCUCUGGUGUACCAGUUGUUCUGCCAAGGGCAUGGCUGGGUAGCUAUGUACGGAAUGGAUAAGCGCUGAAAGCAUCUAAGCGCGAAGCCAACUUCAAGAUAAAAUUUCCCACCGUAAGGGUAAGACCCCAGGAAGACUACCUGGUUGAUAGGUCGAAGGUGUAAGUGCAGUAAUGUAUUUAGCUUAUCGAUACUAAUAGGUCGAGGACUUGACC